RNAcentral lists this ribosomal RNA (656 nucleotides) under Lentinus sajor-caju. Its description in RNAcentral is "eukaryotic LSU rRNA". The stretch from base 251 to 404 matches the Rfam family "5.8S ribosomal RNA". Lineage: Eukaryota; Fungi; Basidiomycota; Agaricomycetes; Polyporales; Polyporaceae. The record is from RNAcentral.
CUGCGGAAGGAUCAUUAAUGAAUUCACUAUGGAGUUGUUGCUGGCCUCUAGGGGCAUGUGCACGCUUCACUAGUCUUUCAACCACCUGUGAACUUUUGAUAGAUCUGUGAAGUCGUCCUUCAAGUCGUCAGACUUGGUUUGCUGGGAUUUAAACGUCUCGGUGUGACAACGCAGUCUAUUUACUUAACACACCCCAAAUGUAUGUCUACGAAUGUCAUUUAAUGGGCCUUGUGCCUAUAAACCAUAAUACAACUUUCAACAACGGAUCUCUUGGCUCUCGCAUCGAUGAAGAACGCAGCGAAAUGCGAUAAGUAAUGUGAAUUGCAGAAUUCAGUGAAUCAUCGAAUCUUUGAACGCACCUUGCGCCCCUUGGUAUUCCGAGGGGCAUGCCUGUUUGAGUGUCAUUAAAUUCUCAAACUCACAUUUAUUUGUGAUGUUUGGAUUGUUGGGGGUUGCUGGCUGUAACAAGUCGGCUCCUCUUAAAUGCAUUAGCAGGACUUCUCAUUGCCUCUGCGCAUGAUGUGAUAAUUAUCACUCAUCAAUAGCACGCAUGAAUAGAGUCCAGCUCUCUAAUCGUCCGCAAGGACAAUUUGACAAUUUGACCUCAAAUCAGGUAGGACUACCCGCUGAACUUAAGCAUAUCAAUAAGCGGAGGA